GCGGCAACAGCUCAAAUUUGAAAUCUGGCUCCGUCGGGGUCCGAGUUGUAAUUUGUAGAGAGUGUUUCGGGUGAGACUACGGUCUAAGUCUAUUGGAACAUGGCGUCAUAGAGGGUGAGAAUCCCGUACGUGACCGUGGCUCGAGCCCAUGUGAAGCCUCUUCGACGAGUCGAGUUGUUUGGGAAUGCAGCUCAAAAUGGGUGGUAAAUUUCAUCUAAAGCUAAAUACUGGCUGGAGACCGAUAGCGCACAAGUAGAGUGAUCGAAAGAUGAAAAGCACUUUGGAAAGAGAGUCAAAAAGUACGUGAAAUUGUUGAAAGGGAAGCGCUUGCAACCAGACCUGUCCGUAGGUGAUCAGCCGCUGUUCUCAGCGGUGCACUCGCUCUGCGAUCAGGCCAGCAUCGGUUUCGGCGGUCGGAUAAAGGCCUUGGGAAUGUAGCUUCCUCCGGGGAGUCUUAUAGCCCUCGGUGCAAUGCGGCCAGCCGGGACCGAGGACCGCGCUUCGGCUAGGAUGCUGGCGUAAUGGUUGUCAGCGACCCGUCUUGAAACACGGACCAAGGAGUCUAACAUCAAUGCGAGUGUUUGGGUGUCAAACCCAUACGCGGAAUGAAAGUGAACGGAGGUGAGAACCCGUUAGGGCGCAUCAUCGACCGAUCCAGAUGUCUUCGGAUGGAUUUGAGUAUGAGCAUUAAUGUUGGGACCCGAAAGAUGGUGAACUAUGCCUGAAUAGGGUGAAGCCAGAGGAAA
This 746-nucleotide ribosomal RNA is filed under the name Usnea aranea. Its description in RNAcentral is "eukaryotic LSU rRNA". It matches the Rfam family "Eukaryotic large subunit ribosomal RNA", at positions 98 to 861 of the family's 3401-position model. The record is from RNAcentral. Lineage: Eukaryota; Fungi; Ascomycota; Lecanoromycetes; Lecanorales; Parmeliaceae.